CCUGCGCGCGCACAGUCGGCGGCCGCGCGCAGCACGCUCGGGGCCGGGAUGGCGGCAGCGGUUGGAAGCGGGGCUCCCCGGGAGGAGGAGGGGCCAGGUGGGGACGCGGCGGCCCCGCAGCCUCAAGCCCCGACGAGUGUGCCCGGGGCUCGUCUCUCGAGGCUGCCUCUGGCGCGAGUGAAGGCCUUGGUGAAGGCGGACCCCGACGUGACGCUCGCGGGACAGGAAGCCAUCUUCAUUCUGGCACGAGCCGCGGAACUGUUUGUGGAGACCAUUGCAAAAGAUGCCUACUGUUGUGCUCAACAAGGGAAGAGGAAGACCCUUCAGAGGAGAGAUCUGGAUAAUGCAAUAGAAGCUGUGGAUGAAUUUGCUUUUCUAGAAGAGGCAGUACUGGGAAUUGAACGCAGGACCUCAGGCAUGCUGAGCAUGCGCUCUACCAUUUGAGAUAUACCCUCCCCAUGGAGCAUCUUUAUGCCGUCCACGUGUGGCCUGUGGCUUUGCUGGGAGAGCUGGAUCUGAAAUGAACAAGAGUCACCUUUUCCUGCAGGGGGUGCUGGCAGCUGUCAUCUUGGGACGUUGGACUGAUUGCUGAGCCGGGCAGUUUUGUGAGCCUGCACCUGCGUCCUUCAGCCAGGACCUCUGCAGGCCUCCGCUUUGAAGAACAGUCUUUGGAAUCCUGUACUUGUACCCUUUUCCUGUCCUACCUUCAACCUAAGCCUGGAUACGCAGAGAUUCACCUGUUACCUUUUCUCUGCAAGGUCUUCCACUGCCGUGUCUUCCAUUUUUGGCCUGGAUCAAUGCUGCUGCUACUUGCGGUAGAGGUACAGAGAGUGAUUUGUGUAGGUGGCUUCAUGAAUCAUAAGGACCAAAUAAAGGCAUCUGACAACUUCA
Molecule: RNA transcript, 891 nt
Organism: Camelus dromedarius (Arabian camel)
Lineage: Eukaryota; Metazoa; Chordata; Mammalia; Artiodactyla; Camelidae
Gene: POLE4
Gene name: DNA polymerase epsilon 4, accessory subunit
Exons: 5
Source: RefSeq, a predicted model, not a curated record